GACGAACGCUGGCGGCGUGCUUAACACAUGCAAGUCGAACGGAAAGGCCCUGCUUUUGUGGGGUGCUCGAGUGGCGAACGGGUGAGUAACACGUGAGUAACCUGCCCUUGACUUUGGGAUAACUUCAGGAAACUGGGGCUAAUACCGGAUAGGAGCUCCUGCUGCAUGGUGGGGGUUGGAAAGUUUCGGCGGUUGGGGAUGGACUCGCGGCUUAUCAGCUUGUUGGUGGGGUAGUGGCUUACCAAGGCUUUGACGGGUAGCCGGCCUGAGAGGGUGACCGGCAACAUGGGGAAGGAGGUACGGCCGAGCCCCCCAGGGGGGACACGGGGGGGAAUUAGUGCACAGGGGGGGGGGGCCGGACACAGCAGCCCCGGGGGGGGAGGGGGGGGUUUGGGUGUGAAACCGGUUUGCGCCGGGCACGAAGUGGGGGGGAGGGGAAGGGAAAAAGAAGCCCCGGCAACCUCCGUC
RNAcentral lists this ribosomal RNA (468 nucleotides) under uncultured bacterium. RNAcentral describes it as "partial 16S ribosomal RNA". The stretch from base 13 to 373 matches the Rfam family "Bacterial small subunit ribosomal RNA", at positions 40 to 399 of the family's 1533-position model. The record is from RNAcentral.